AGAAGUUUUGACCUCCACUUGCUAAAUAAUAUUUUCUCAGCAUUCUCGCGCGAGAAAAUUGUAGUACUUGCCUGAGAAAAUGGCAGGAACGAAGGAAUUCGUGGAAGCGGACAAUGCAGAAGCCAUCAUAACCAGAAUCGAACACAAAUCUAGGAAAAUCGAGAGCUUACUCAAACAGCAUAAACCUAUCGAAGCUCUCAAAACUGCUCUCGAAGGUUCGCCUCCCAAUACAAGAGACGAGCGAUGCAAGUCUGCUAAUUGGAUAGUGGUGCAUAGAGCUAUGAUGGCUAUAAAAGAUGUGGAUUCAUUGUUCUCUUCUUUGGAUCCUGAGUACUAUGAUAUCCUCAUGAAGUACUUGUAUAGAGGAUUGUCUACUGGAGAUCGUCCCACAUGCGACCAAUGCCUGAGGAUUCAUGAAAAGCUGACAGAGAGAGCUGGUUUAGGCUGCAUACUGCGUUCCCUUGCAGAUACUGUGAAUACAGUUUGAUUUCUUCUAUCCUUGCAUCCUAAGAGAAGAUCUCUAGAUAAGAAAUUAAUCAAUGAAAGCAAUAGGAAAUUGAAGACAAGUAGAUGGGCAUCCCCAUGGUGUAUUUUGAUGCAUUUGGAAAGAAAGGAAGAGACCUUUUGAUUAAAGUCCAUGAACCAAAAUUCUUUUCCUGAGCACUGUGAUAUACUCGUCGGGGUCCCCAUCAAGAGCAACCACUUGCAGUUCUAAUUUUUAGUACGAUCAACACUGGAGGUUUGAGUCGCCAUGAAAGCUUCAAAUGGCUGGACGUUAUAAAUAAAGAAAUUGUGAGAUGGAAAUGUAGAGAAAUUAUCUCACCUCCAUGUCUUGGGCAAAUCAUCUGUUGUGUGGUUAUGAAUGUGGAUAAUGUAUCUAUCUUUAUGUUAUUGCAUUGAAGUGACAUCAAAGGGGUAGGAUGCUUCAUUUUCUAUGUCGGCAGACUUCCACCUAAGACUCAAAUAUUCUAGCAAUCAUGCAUUGGUCUAUGA
This is an RNA transcript of Vitis riparia (riverbank grape), 993 nucleotides long. It is a transcript of the gene named actin-related protein 2/3 complex subunit 5A, with no coding region annotated. The record is from RefSeq and is a predicted model, not a curated record. Lineage: Eukaryota; Viridiplantae; Streptophyta; Magnoliopsida; Vitales; Vitaceae. The transcript is spliced from 7 exons.